Molecule: long non-coding RNA, 1328 nt
Filed under: Gallus gallus (chicken)
Lineage: Eukaryota; Metazoa; Chordata; Aves; Galliformes; Phasianidae
Description: lncRNA (ENSGALG00000050076.2)
Source: RNAcentral
AAGGACACAGAAUGAAAUGCUGAUUUAGGAAGCUCUAAAUGUUUAAUUUGGAGGUUUCAAGAGCAGACUUAGCUGAGUAUUCUGAUGGGGCUGCAGCAGCACAGCCUCCUGUCUGUAACAUGGACAGUGCUCCCAGAAAGAGCAGCCUGGAUUCCCCCAAAGACAUCUGUGUCGAAUUGAUGAUGAGCUUGGCUGGCAUCUUAGAAAGAUCUUGAGCUGACAAGAUUAACCCUCAAAUGCCGUGGGAUGCAAAGGGCACGCCAUUUGAGAAGAGGGGCACACACACGACUUGGCAGCUGGAAAAAGCUGCCAGACUCAGCUAAAUGCAAGUCUUCUAUCCCGUGUGGUAAGCUCAAAACUGGGGGAGAGGAUGAAAUUACUUCUGUUGGCUUUCAGUGUGUUGUUUUUUUUCCCCUUUGUGGGUGUAUGUAUUUGCUAUGACAGUGACCUCUGUGGAGGCUCUAUCAGGAGUUAUGGACUGUGUCACAUCUUUCUGCACCGCAUCUUGGGAGAUCCUAAACAUCAUCUUAUGAGGGCCUUAGUGCUCCUCUUCCCAAUUGGAGAAAUUCUCCAUAGCAGACACUCGAUGCUAAUGCCGUAUUGUUGGAUACUGUGUGCAUCCAGAAGAUACACCAGCAUGCCCUUGAUGUUUUCCUGGAGAAAACCAUUAACUGGAAUGGUGAGCAAACUGAAAGUGAAGGGAAAGCAGUUGGCUGCAUGUGGGACUGUGCAAACUGCUGCUACCUGGUGCCAGCCACGAGCAAAAUGGAAUGGAAGGAGCCACUCCUUGCAUGGCACGUGCUGUGGUCACUGCAGCAAGAUUUAUUUGUGCUGGAGGAAGAGCUGACCUUCAUAAACUGUAAACAGUCCUUGACAGAAAUAUGUACCUAUGGCCUUGUCAGCUCUCUGAGGUUUUGUCUGUGUUGUUCCCCUGGUGAAUGUGUUGGCAAACUUCCUCUAGCAGAGCCAGCAAAAUUUUGUCCUUCCUGGCCUCCUGGUCCAGCCCUGUCCGUCCCAGAGAGAGACUAAAGAGCCACCAGCCAAGAGAUGGUUGCUUUAUGGCUGGGUCUUUGGUGCAGUGAUGCCGGUUAGAAUUUGCAGGCCACUGUGUUUGGGUGGUUGUGUUCCCUGCAUGGGAAUGAGUUGAUGUAUGUCAUAACAGCACCGCUGAAAGGUCAUUGACUGUCUUGGUGAAUCCAGCUUCUGUUCCCAACGCAUGCAAGUAUUUGUAGAGCCGUGCCAAAAAAAAUGUGAUGUUCUGACCUUAAGUAGAUAACCUCUCUCUCCUUAAAGCAUACUUUUAGACCAUAUAAAGAUGUAGAUUGAGG